AAAUUGAAGAGUUUGAUCAUGGCUCAGAUUGAACGCUGGCGGCAGGCCUAACACAUGCAAGUCGAGCGGAAACGAGUUGUCUGAACCUUCGGGGGACGAUAACGGCGUCGAGCGGCGGACGGGUGAGUAAUGCCUAGGAAAUUGCCCUGAUGUGGGGGAUAACCAUUGGAAACGAUGGCUAAUACCGCAUGAUGCCUACGGGCCAAAGAGGGGGACCUUCGGGCCUCUCGCGUCAGGAUAUGCCUAGGUGGGAUUAGCUAGUUGGUGAGGUAAGGGCUCACCAAGGCGACG
RNAcentral lists this ribosomal RNA (291 nucleotides) under Vibrio parahaemolyticus. RNAcentral's name for it is "partial 16S ribosomal RNA". It matches the Rfam family "Bacterial small subunit ribosomal RNA", at positions 1 to 278 of the family's 1533-position model. The record is from RNAcentral. Lineage: Bacteria; Pseudomonadati; Pseudomonadota; Gammaproteobacteria; Vibrionales; Vibrionaceae.